UCGACUAGACAGUCAUCCAGCACAUUCAGUUUGAUGACUUUUUCUACUUCUCAACCUUCAAGUGCUCUCGCCUCGUGCUUUUUAGGCUAUAUUCUGCUGGGUGCAGACACAUAAUAGAGGACAAGAAGCCACCGUCUACAAACAGAAAGCCGGCGGACCUGGUUGUUGGACACGGGAGGAACACACCACAUAACUUGAACUUGAGACAGGGCAAGCGAGGACACGAGGAGAUGUGGGAGCACAGGGCCUGAGUUGCUGCAGAUCAGAGAGGAUAUGUGGACAUGCCCGGAGCAGCGUGAGAGGGAUCAAGCACCACAAACGCCCGGAGAUUUCGACGCUUUACCCCCCGGAUAGCUGAUGGCUGCGGCGUGUGUGUGCCAGUUCUCCUCAAAGUCUUGUUGGGCUCGUUAUUUUGGAUUGAAACAUUUUCCUGCUCAGACCUCAAAGUCGAGGCGGCGGAAACCUGAGAGGACAAGAGCCGACACCAGCACAGACCUGCAGAGAGGAGUUUGUCCUACAGCAGGCCGAUAUUCAACAACGCCUGAUGAGACGACCUGCAGGAGAAAAACUGUCCUUUGGGGUGAGGUAGUAGGUUGUAUAGUUUUAGGGUCAUUCCCAAGCUGUCAGAUGACUAUACAACUUACUGUCUUUCCUGAAGCGACUGUAAUGGCAUCUUCAUCAGCAUCAUCAUCAUCCUCAUCAUUAAGGGAAAAUAAAACUUCUACACUGUAAACUCCUUUUUUGACAUUUUUCAAGCUUUCAUUUUUUAACUUUUGAAAUUGAAUAUUUUGAAGUGUCCAUUUGUGAUUCUGUUGUAAUUAUAGAAGCUCCAACAACAUGCCCAUUAGCUAGUAUUUGAUAGGUUGUUGUUUUUUUGCUUGUGUUGAGAUGUAACAUGUUAGUCUGAAGUUAUCAUCAAAAACCUGCGAUAGCCACCAACAUGUGAUCCUCCCCCCCCUCUCCACCUGGGUGACAUUAUGGUGUUCGUACAGGGUGAGGUAGUAGGUUGUGUGGUUUCAGGGUUGUGAUUUUACCCCAUCAGGAGCUAACUAUACAACCUACUGCCUUCCCUGGAGGGCAGCAAUACAUCACAGGAGCACACGCCUUUCUCAGCCAUCACUGACAGACUCUCUUGAACUAAGCAGGUCAAAGGACUGAACUUUGAUGUCGAAGGUUUCGUUGGAUGGGUGAGUGGUGCGCAAUUACAAUAUGUAUUUAAAGGCUCAAUAAACUACUAGAAUGACCAGUUAAAUAUCAAUUUAAAAUAGCCAGGUUAGCUCUGGAAAUGUUUUUAUUAUGCUGUUUGACUUUGUUCUGUUUUUUAUGAAGAAAUAAAGACUGGAUGACAAAUUGUGAGAAAAA
Long non-coding RNA from Notolabrus celidotus (New Zealand spotty), 1362 nucleotides. RefSeq lists it as uncharacterized. Lineage: Eukaryota; Metazoa; Chordata; Actinopteri; Labriformes; Labridae. The record is from RefSeq and is a predicted model, not a curated record. The transcript is spliced from 6 exons.